CUACGGGGCGCACCAGUAAGGAAUAUUGCGCAAUGGAGGCAACUCUGACGCAGCCAUGCCGCGUGCAGGAAGAAGGCCUUAUGGGUCGUAAACUGCUUUUAUUUAGGAAUAAACCCCCGAACGCGUUCGGGGCUGAAGGUACUAAACGAAUAAGCACCGGCUAACUCCGUGCCAGCAGCCGCGGUAAUACGGAGGGUGCAAGCGUUAUCCGGAUUUAUUGGGGUUAAAGGGUGCGCAGGCGGGCUAUUAAGUCAGUGGUGAAAUCCCGGGGCUCAACUCCGGAACUGCCAUUGAUACUGAUAGUCUUGAGUUUGGUUGAAGUGGGCGGAAUGUAGCAUGUAGCGGUGAAAUGCAUAGAUAUGCUACAGAACACCAAUCGCGAAGGCAGCUCACUAAGCCAAAACUGACGCUCAUGCACGAAAGCGUGGGGAUCAAACAGGAUUAGAUACCCCUGUAGUC
This 459-nucleotide ribosomal RNA is filed under the name uncultured bacterium. Its description in RNAcentral is "partial 16S ribosomal RNA". It matches the Rfam family "Bacterial small subunit ribosomal RNA", at positions 339 to 795 of the family's 1533-position model. The record is from RNAcentral.